UUUUUUAUUGUUCUAAAAUGUGGAAAAUAAUAAAUAAAGAAUGUGUGUGUGUCUUAACUUUUGACUGGUAGUGUAUAUAAAUGCUAUAAACAAACAAUAAACAUUAUUUAACUUGCUAAUGUUCCACAGAUUUUCAGAACGUGAUUGAAAAUGACUGUAAAGCCUACCAGCGAACAAUGUACACCAAGUAUGGACAGUGAAGAUGAUUUUGAAGAGGACCUUAAGUUUCCUGGCCCUCUUAUGAGCAAUGACAUGCAGAAGGAGGACCUGAUUUUGUUUAUCCGGUGGAAAGCAAAGGAGUGUUAUACAGAGCUUUAUAAACGUGACCACGUGGAGGCCUAUUUCUUAUGGAAGAUAAUGGAAUUGGUCUGCCGUGAAAACGGAGUGUUAAUUGAUUGUUUAAGCAAAGUUAUAAUAUAUAAAGACAUUUAAGAACACAUUCUCUGAUUGUUCUGAAUAAUCUACUCGUAUUCGGUUACAUCUCCAAUACUAACGUUACUGAAUGAUAUUUCUUUUACAGAAAGAGGUGAUGUGUGAAGUCGCCGCAGUCAUCUUCAAGGGCUACAGCAGGCUCAGGAAUAAGUUUCCAACAUUUCGGUGCCCAGAUGGUGACAGAUGGAAGGAAUGGUGUCUUCCUCUGGCAGACCUUUUGUGCUCCUCUGCACCAGAUGACGAGAUCAGAGAGGCUGUAAUAAAGAUGGGAGAUGAUCUUGCCUCCAGAACUUGGACCUAUGCAGCACAUAUCUGCUACGUUGUAGCAAAAGUGGAGCUGGGAUCACGUAGUCAGUUUGAACUGAUUGGAUGUGACAGAGUGCCUUUUGAGAUGUCAGUCCUACCUGAAACCUUUGUGACAACUGAGACAUACGAAUACUUGCUGUCGCUGACCACAGGGCUGGCCCAGCCAAGCUUCCAGAUCUUCAAGUUGUGCCAUGUCAGCAGGAUGGUCUAUUUUAAGCUGACUCUCAUAAGUGCUGCCCCUAAAUACUGUGAGACCCUCGCUAGGGCAGCCUUCACUUUCCCCGACAGAAUCAAAAGUAACUUCAUUGAACGGCUUAUUUUGCUGUCUUGCAAUCUCCUAAAAGACCAGGCAGAAGAACCUGAGUGGCUGCUAGAGCUCCGGCAGCUGCACAGAACUAAAUUAGCAAAUGCUAAUGGUGACCCAGAGCAGUACAUGGCAUCUACCAUCCAUGAGGUGUAUUCUGAGAUUCAGGACUCACAAUUUUCCCUGAGGACAGACGAGAUCCUCGCUCUCCAGUCUACUGAUCUGGAGCAGCAUGCUGCCCCACGGGCUGGGCUUUAUUCACGGUACACUUUGGGAAAACUGCUGGGGAAGUGAGACUAUGGAUCUGUCUUCGAAGGACACCGGAUUGAAGAUGGGAAAGAGGUUGCCGUUAAAUUUGUUGACAAGGCCGGUGACAUCAUAACAAUUGCACUGAUGCAUUUAAACCUCCUGAGUGCCUGAUGAAUUUAAAGUACAUGGGCAUUCCUGCUACCAUCUGGGGUCUGGGCAUACUCCUGUUCUGCAUGAUCUGUGGAUGCAACCCCUUUGAAUCAGGUGGCGACUUUCAGUGUGCACACCUGGAAUUAUGUUCUGACAUGUCUCGAGAGUGCUUUGAGCUGAUAAUGUGGUGCCUGGAGAUCGACCCUGAAACGCGGCCAACUUUCGCUGACUUGGUCAGGCACGAGUGGUUUACGGAGGCAGUUCUGGAGAAAGUUCAGAUUCCUCCUGAAACCAAAGAUCUUGUAACUACUCGUUGAUAACUAACACACACACACUUAUAUAUGUUAGAAAUUGUUAUUCAUUAUUUAUUUUUAUUAUAAUAAAAUAGAAAAAUAAUAUAACAAGAAUGCUAAAAACAUUCAAUAUAUUUAAUCAGUGCUGCGUUUUACACCAACAUUCGCAUUCAAACGGCUCAAAUCACCUUCCUCUCAUCAUUAAUGAUAACGCCACCGUUUGAUUCUCAUAAUGAGAGCAAAUAUGGAGUCUUUUGUCCUGGAAAGCCUGAAUAAUCAGAAAAAUAAUAACCUGAUAAAUAAGUUUGAAUUUGACCCAAAGUAAUCUUGGCAGAGUUGCUUCCUUAAGAGUUUAAUAAACACAUAAGACAUAAAGGUACUUCACAGUAAUUUAUGUGAAAACAACAAUACAACAUGUGUGCAUACAUAUUAUACAUCAUACUGAGAGCUUGGACCAUGAUGGUGUUAACAAUGUUUUUAAAUGUCCUGAGGUCCAAAACACAGCCUGUCCAAUAAAAUAAAAUAAAAAAUGUUUACAGGACUUUACAGGGAAUCAGUUUAUUUAUAUUCAUCUGUAGAUGGGUUGUUGUCAUGACAUGGCAUUUUCACUGUCACACAAGAUAAAAAUGAAUGAAGUAUUGAGUGGGUAUUAAAUAAAUAAGUAUUGUCAUAAUUUAGAAACGCAUUCAAUUAUUAAACAUUUCUUUGAUUUACAUCGACUUGUUAUUAUACAAGCUGCAUCAUUAGAUUUUUUUUGCCAAAUCUCAAAAUUGUCCUGUGGUAUGACUGUCUCGAUCAAGGUUCAAUAAAUUAAAAAGAAAAGCAUAAAAAUGUUGAUAAAUACCACUGGCAUAAUUUUUACAAGUAUCUAUUUUAGCAAAUGGCAAUUAG
Ictalurus punctatus (channel catfish) is the source of this 2625-nucleotide RNA transcript. RefSeq lists it as uncharacterized. The record is from RefSeq and is a predicted model, not a curated record. The transcript has 13 exons. Lineage: Eukaryota; Metazoa; Chordata; Actinopteri; Siluriformes; Ictaluridae.